AUAGGAGAUCUAGCUGCCACUUCUGUCACUGCACUAGCCAUCAGUGCUGACCUGUGUGAUCUUCCUGGCUGGAGCAGGGCUCCUCUCCACAGCUGCAUGUGUGUCCCUUCGAAGCUGCACUCACUUGAAAAGAACAAUGUUCCCUGAUAGAAAAGGACCACUCUGUAUAGGGGUUUUCAAGGAGUUGCCUUCCUUAGUCAAAACCUCCAAAGAAGAAAUCAAGAGUCAUAUUUUAAGUUUUAUUUUUAUUAUUAACUGCUGACCUCCUAUUGAUGUAUUAUAUCCUAAUGUCAAAG
This is an unclassified non-coding RNA of Cavia porcellus (domestic guinea pig), 296 nucleotides long. Its record names the gene 7SK. It matches the Rfam family "7SK RNA". Rfam says of the family: 7SK was discovered as an abundant small nuclear RNA in the mid-70s but a possible function has only recently been suggested. Two independent studies have found that 7SK RNA binds the CDK9/cyclin T complex (known as elongation factor P-TEFb). P-TEFb activates transcription by phosphorylating the C-terminal domain of RNA polymerase II. The record is from Ensembl. NCBI's taxonomy places the organism in Eukaryota, Metazoa, Chordata, Mammalia, Rodentia, Caviidae.